RNAcentral lists this ribosomal RNA (508 nucleotides) under uncultured bacterium. RNAcentral's name for it is "partial 16S ribosomal RNA". It matches the Rfam family "Bacterial small subunit ribosomal RNA", at positions 28 to 507 of the family's 1533-position model. The record is from RNAcentral.
GACGAACGCUGGCGGCGUGCCUAAUACAUGCAAGUCGAACGCUUCUUUCCUCCCGAGUGCUUGCACUCAAUUGGAAAGAGGAGUGGCGGACGGGUGAGUAACACGUGGGUAACCUACCCAUCAGAGGGGGAUAACACUUGGAAACAGGUGCUAAUACCGCAUAACAGUUUAUGCCGCAUGGCAUAAGAGUGAAAGGCGCUUUCGGGUGUCGUUGAUGGAUGGACCCGCGGUGCAUUAGCUAGUUGGCGAGGUAACGGCUCACCAAGGCCACGAUGCAUAGCCGACCUGAGAGGGUGAUCGGCCACACUGGGACUGAGACACGGCCCAGACUCCUACGGGAGGCAGCAGUAGGGAAUCUUCGGCAAUGGACGAAAGUCUGACCGAGCAACGCCGCGUGAGUGAAGAAGGUUUUCGGAUCGUAAAACUCUGUUGUUAGAGAAGAACAAGGACGUUAGUAACUGAACGUCCCCUGACGGUAUCUAACCAGAAAGCCACGGCUAACUACGUG